GCUUGACCUCAAAUCANGUAGGACUACCCGCUGAACUUAA
Molecule: ribosomal RNA, 40 nt
Filed under: Agaricus microvolvatulus
Lineage: Eukaryota; Fungi; Basidiomycota; Agaricomycetes; Agaricales; Agaricaceae
Description: partial 28S ribosomal RNA
Source: RNAcentral